This 253-nucleotide ribosomal RNA is filed under the name uncultured bacterium. Its description in RNAcentral is "partial 16S ribosomal RNA". It matches the Rfam family "Bacterial small subunit ribosomal RNA", at positions 524 to 776 of the family's 1533-position model. The record is from RNAcentral.
UACAGAGGGGGCAAGCGUUGUUCGGAAUUACUGGGCGUAAAGGGCGCGUAGGCGGCCAACUAAGUCAGACGUGAAAUCCCCAGGCUCAACCUGGGAACUGCGUCUGAUACUGGAUGGCUCGAGUUCGGGAGAGGGAAGUGGAAUUCCCAGUGUAGCGGUGAAAUGCGUAGAUAUUGGGAGGAACACCAGUGGCGAAGGCGGCUCACUGGACCGGUACUGACGCUGAAGCGCGAAAGCGUGGGGAGCAAACGGG